GACGAACGCUGGCGGCGUGCUUAACACAUGCAAGUCGAGCGAUGAAAUUCUCUUCGGAGAAUGGAUUAGCGGCGGACGGGUGAGUAACACGUGGGUAACCUGCCUUAUAGUGGGGGAUAGCCUUUCGAAAGGAAGAUUAAUACCGCAUAAGCGCACAGUACCGCAUGGUACAGUGUGAAAAACUCCGGUGGUGUGAGAUGGACCCGCGUCUGAUUAGCUAGUUGGUGGGGCAACGGCCUACCAAGGCGACGAUCAGUAGCCGGUCUGAGAGGAUGAACGGCCACAUUGGAACUGAGACACGGUCCAAAACUCCUACGGGAGGCAGCAGUGGGGGAUAUUGCAC
Molecule: ribosomal RNA, 343 nt
Filed under: uncultured bacterium
Lineage: Bacteria
Description: bacterial SSU rRNA
Rfam family: Bacterial small subunit ribosomal RNA
Source: RNAcentral